UAAGGAAUAUUGGUCAAUGGACGAAAGUCUGAACCAGCCAUGCCGCGUGGAGGAUGAAGGUCCUCUGGAUUGUAAACUUCUUUUAUCUGGGACGAAAAAAGGUCUUUCUAGAUCGUCUGACGGUACCAGAUGAAUAAGCACCGGCUAACUCCGUGCCAGCAGCCGCGGUAAUACGGAGGGUGCAAGCGUUAUCCGGAUUCACUGGGUUUAAAGGGUGCGUAGGUGGGUUGGUAAGUCAGUGGUGAAAUCUUCGAGCUUAACUCGGAAACUGCCAUUGAGACUAUCAGUCUUGAAUAUUGUGUAGGUUAGCGGAAUAUGUCAUGGAGCGGUGAAAUGCUUAGAUAUGACAUAGAACACCAAUUGCGAAGGCAGCUGGCUACACAUAUAUUGACACUGAGGCACGAAAGCGUGGGGAUCAAACA
Molecule: ribosomal RNA, 422 nt
Filed under: uncultured bacterium
Lineage: Bacteria
Description: bacterial SSU rRNA
Rfam family: Bacterial small subunit ribosomal RNA
Source: RNAcentral